UACGUAUGGUGCAAGCGCUAUCCGGAUUUACUGGGCGUAAAGGGAGCGCAGGCGGCGCGCCAAGUCUGAUGUGAAACCCCGGGGCUCAACCCCGGGCAUGCAUUGGAAACUGGCGGGCUGGAGUGCCGGAGAGGUAAGCGGAAUUCCUAGUGUAGCGGUGAAAUGCGUAGAUAUUAGGAGGAACACCAGUGGCGAAGGCGGCUUACUGGACGGCAACUGACGCUGAGGCUCGAAAGCGUGGGGAGCAAACAGG
This 253-nucleotide ribosomal RNA is filed under the name uncultured bacterium. RNAcentral's name for it is "partial 16S ribosomal RNA". It matches the Rfam family "Bacterial small subunit ribosomal RNA", at positions 524 to 776 of the family's 1533-position model. The record is from RNAcentral.